This 343-nucleotide ribosomal RNA is filed under the name Bacillus sp. TE202. RNAcentral describes it as "bacterial SSU rRNA". It matches the Rfam family "Bacterial small subunit ribosomal RNA", at positions 78 to 412 of the family's 1533-position model. Lineage: Bacteria; Bacillati; Bacillota; Bacilli; Caryophanales; Bacillaceae. The record is from RNAcentral.
GCUUGCUCUUAUGAAGUUAGCGGCGGACGGUUUAUUAAUACGUGGGUAACCUGCCCAGGAGACUGGGAUAAUUCCGGGGAACCGGGGCUAAUACCGGAUAACAUUUUGAACCGCAUGGUUCGAAAUUGAAAGGCGGCUUCGGCUGUCACUUAUGGAUGGACCCGCGUCGCAUUAGCUAGUUGGUGAGGUAACGGCUCACCAAGGCAACGAUGCGUAGCCGACCUGAGAGGGUGAUCGGCCACACUGGGACUGAGACACGGCCCAGACUCCUACGGGAGGCAGCAGUAGGGAAUCUUCCGCAAUGGACGAAAGUCUGACGGAGCAACGCCGCGUGAGUGAUGAA